This 192-nucleotide ribosomal RNA is filed under the name uncultured bacterium. RNAcentral describes it as "partial 16S ribosomal RNA". It matches the Rfam family "Bacterial small subunit ribosomal RNA", at positions 1309 to 1500 of the family's 1533-position model. The record is from RNAcentral.
AACUCGCCUACAUGAAGUCGGAAUCGCUAGUAAUCGCGGAUCAGCAUGCCGCGGUGAAUACGUUCCCGGGCCUUGUACACAUCGCCCGUCACACCAUGAGAGUUUGUAACACCCAAAGCCGGUGGGGUAACCUUUUGGAGCCAGCCGUCUAAGGUGGGACAGAUGAUUGGGGUGAAGUCGUAACAAGGUACC